AUCCUCCGUCACAUCGACCACUGGCUGUCUCUUUCCGACCAUGGUACUAAACCACUCAUUCUCCGUCUUCUCUGUCGUGAUAUGAACCUAGAGACGUCGCAGAUCGUCUUCGCCGGACCUUAUCUGAACGAAGAAGAAAGAGAGACGAUAGGGAAGGAUUACAAUCUGUUCAAUAUGGGGCUCAUGACUCUACCGUUGGACCUCCCUGGUUUUGCUUUCCGCAAGGCUAGACUCGCCGUGUCACGUCUUUCGGAUACUCUGGCCAAGUGCGUGCGUCGGAGCAGGGAGAGAAUGACGUCGGGGAAGGAGGAG
RNAcentral lists this long non-coding RNA (312 nucleotides) under Zostera marina. RNAcentral describes it as "long non-coding RNA (ZMAR_LNC005852)". The record is from RNAcentral. Lineage: Eukaryota; Viridiplantae; Streptophyta; Magnoliopsida; Alismatales; Zosteraceae.